UACGGAGGGUGCGAGCGUUGUCCGGAAUCACUGGGCGUAAAGGGCGCGUAGGUGGCGCGACAAGUCAACGGUGAAAGCUCGGCGCUCAACGCCGAGUCGGCCGUCGAUACUGUUGGGCUUGAGCACUGUAGAGGCUAAUGGAAUUCCGGGUGUAGCGGUGGAAUGCGUAGAGAUCCGGAAGAACACCGGUGGCGAAGGCGGUUAGCUGGGCAGUUGCUGGAC
RNAcentral lists this ribosomal RNA (222 nucleotides) under uncultured bacterium. Its description in RNAcentral is "partial 16S ribosomal RNA". It matches the Rfam family "Bacterial small subunit ribosomal RNA", at positions 524 to 745 of the family's 1533-position model. The record is from RNAcentral.